This 493-nucleotide ribosomal RNA is filed under the name uncultured bacterium. RNAcentral's name for it is "partial 16S ribosomal RNA". The stretch from base 12 to 378 matches the Rfam family "Bacterial small subunit ribosomal RNA", at positions 39 to 400 of the family's 1533-position model. The record is from RNAcentral.
AGUGAACGCUGGCGGUAGGCCUAACACAUGCAAGUCGAACGGCAGCACAGUAAGAGCUUGCUCUUACGGGUGGCGAGUGGCGGACGGGUGAGGAAUACAUCGGAAUCUACUUUUUCGUGGGGGAUAACGUAGGGAAACUUACGCUAAUACCGCAUACGACCUACGGGUGAAAGCAGGGGAUCUUCGGACCUUGCGCGAUUGAAUGAGCCGAUGUCGGAUUAGCUAGUUGGCGGGGUAAAGGCCCACCAAGGCGACGAUCCGUAGCUGGUCUGAGAGGAUGGACAGACAGCGGGGGACGGGGACACAGAACAGACUGGUGCGGGAGGCAGAAGAGAAGAGUAGUGUGGAAUGGACGAGAGUGUGUGGUAUCAACGACGCGUGUGGGAAGACGGAAUACGAGGUGUAAAGCUCUGUUAAGAGGAACGAAAGGAGUGAGUGAGAAUAGGGAGAAGGAGUGCAGGUAGCGGAGGAGAGAAAAAGGGCACACUAAGUC